Cucurbita pepo subsp. pepo (vegetable marrow) is the source of this 1204-nucleotide non-coding RNA. The record is from RefSeq and is a predicted model, not a curated record. NCBI's taxonomy places the organism in Eukaryota, Viridiplantae, Streptophyta, Magnoliopsida, Cucurbitales, Cucurbitaceae.
CAGCAUCUGCAGUACCUUUGACAUUGUGGGUCGCAGUGAUGCAGUCUCCUGAGUGCACAGAAGUCCUAUGUGCACCACUCUCAAUAUCUCCUCUUUUAUGCUCCCACCUCCCUCCUUCUCAUCAACCAUCAGAACUACCAUGAAACAACGAACAGAAGAAGAGCUACUUACAAUGAGUACUAUGCUUUCCAAGUAGUCCGAGGUUUUGCUCCUACUGUUCUGUAUCCCAGUGAUGGUCUCCAGCAAAACCACCCCAAAACUGUAGACAUCAGCCUUUUCUGUUAGCUGGCCAUGAGCCAAGUACUCUGGCGCCAUAUACCCCCUGUGGAUUCACGAACAGUAGAAGCAACAACAAAUGUUAAAUCACUUUUGUUUUGUGUUGUUUAAUUUGAUACUUAUUCCUUGUUAUUCAAGAGAAAUUACGUACAAGGUUCCGGCAAUGGCAGUGCUGAUGUGGCUCACAUCUUCUUCAAAGGAUCUAGCCAAUCCAAAAUCAGCAAUUUUAGCUCGAAACUUUGAGUCAAGCAAGAUGUUACUAGCCUUGAUGUCUCGGUGAAUGAUCUUGGUUUUCGAGUUCUCGUGCAGGUAAGCCAAACCUUCAACUGUUCCCACGAUAAUAUCAAAUCUCUUCUCCCAAUUGAGUGAUCUGCCUCUGUCUCGAUCUGUAUGGUUUUGAAACUAAUCAGAAGAGGUGUUUAUAAACAAUGGUUCAAGUGGAUGUUUAAUGAAAUGAACAUGUCAGCGUUUACCAAAAAUGAAGCGGUCGAGGCUCUUGUUGGGAAGGAAUUCAUAGACGAGUAGACUUUCAGAAGUCUGCUGCUCUAUGUUUGUUAUUGAAGAAAAGCCUCUUCACAGCUAUCUCUCUUCCGUCCGACAGAACUCCCUGCAUCAACAUAGACAGAAGAGGAAGGAAGGGAUGAUGAAAUCUCAGUGUUUGAGCUUAUUAAGCUAAUUGCAUGUUUGAAGAUGUAGAUUCCAAUCAACACACCAGCGACCAAAACAGCAAUCGAGCUUACCACUGAGAUUACAAUUGCUAUAAUGUUACCUGCAGAGAUCGUCCAUAGUAAAUUCAACUCGAGCUUCCCUAUUUAGGAAGUCAACGCUAGAGUAUCUGAUGAAGCAGCCAGUGUUGAGGGCCCUUGCUUCGGACUGAGGCAAGCAUUUGAGGAUAGAAGCAGAGGCGUUUUGCAAACAGGAAGUGCAG